AUUGAACGCUGGCGGCAUGCCUUACACAUGCAAGUCGAACGGUAACAGGUCUUCGGAUGCUGACGAGUGGCGAACGGGUGAGUAAUACACCGGAACGUGCCUAGUAGUGGGGGAUAACUACUCGAAAGAGUGGCUAAUACCGCAUGAGAUCUACGGAUGAAAGCAGGGGAUCGCAAGACCUUGUGCUACUAGAGCGGCCGAUGGCAGAUUAGGUAGUUGGUGGGAUAAAAGCUUACCAAGCCGACGAUCUGUAGCUGGUCUGAGAGGACGAUCAGCCUCACUGGGACUGAGACACGGCCCAGACUCCUACGGGAGGCAGCAGUGGGGAAUUUUGGACAAUGGGCGCAAGCCUGAUCCAGCAAUGCCGCGUGCAGGAUGAAGGCCUUCGGGUUGUAAACUGCUUUUGUACGGAACGAAAAGCCCUGGGUUAAUACCCUGGGGUCAUGACGGUACCGUAAGAAUAAGCACCGGCUAACUACGUGCCAGCCGCCGCCGUAA
Molecule: ribosomal RNA, 498 nt
Filed under: uncultured bacterium
Lineage: Bacteria
Description: partial 16S ribosomal RNA
Rfam family: Bacterial small subunit ribosomal RNA
Source: RNAcentral